RNAcentral lists this small RNA (318 nucleotides) under Arabidopsis thaliana (thale cress). RNAcentral describes it as "ATSL046150". The record is from RNAcentral. Lineage: Eukaryota; Viridiplantae; Streptophyta; Magnoliopsida; Brassicales; Brassicaceae.
AUUUGGUUUUCUAAGUAACACUAAUUAUUUAUAGUCAGUUUUUACAAAAAAAAAAAUUGUCGUCUUAAAUUUAUUAUUUAUUACAAAUUAUGAUAAGACGAUGCAUUUUACUCCUUCUCCAUGCUCUUCAUGCACACCUUCAAUGAUCUUCUCUGCGUAGAAUCCUGGCGAACGGCUAUAAUUAUACAUCGUUGGAGAUCUCUUGUAGUUCAUUAAUCUGCAAAUCUUCUAAUAAAUGGUAGUAUUGGGACUCAACCUCAUACCUCUUAGUGUAGAACCAUUAAUGAACCCUUCCACCAAAGUUUUUACAAUUAAAAC